This 587-nucleotide ribosomal RNA is filed under the name Saccharomyces cerevisiae (brewer's yeast). Its description in RNAcentral is "eukaryotic LSU rRNA". It matches the Rfam family "Eukaryotic large subunit ribosomal RNA", at positions 73 to 664 of the family's 3401-position model. The record is from RNAcentral. Lineage: Eukaryota; Fungi; Ascomycota; Saccharomycetes; Saccharomycetales; Saccharomycetaceae.
GAUUGCCUUAGUAACGGCGAGUGAAGCGGCAAAAGCUCAAAUUUGAAAUCUGGUACCUUCGGUGCCCGAGUUGUAAUUUGGAGAGGGCAACUUUGGGGCCGUUCCUUGUCUAUGUUCCUUGGAACAGGACGUCAUAGAGGGUGAGAAUCCCGUGUGGCGAGGAGUGCGGUUCUUUGUAAAGUGCCUUCGAAGAGUCGAGUUGUUUGGGAAUGCAGCUCUAAGUGGGUGGUAAAUUCCAUCUAAAGCUAAAUAUUGGCGAGAGACCGAUAGCGAACAAGUACAGUGAUGGAAAGAUGAAAAGAACUUUGAAAAGAGAGUGAAAAAGUACGUGAAAUUGUUGAAAGGGAAGGGCAUUUGAUCAGACAUGGUGUUUUGUGCCCUCUGCUCCUUGUGGGUAGGGGAAUCUCGCAUUUCACUGGGCCAGCAUCAGUUUUGGUGGCAGGAUAAAUCCAUAGGAAUGUAGCUUGCCUCGGUAAGUAUUAUAGCCUGUGGGAAUACUGCCAGCUGGGACUGAGGACUGCGACGUAAGUCAAGGAUGCUGGCAUAAUGGUUAUAUGCCGCCCGUCUUGAAACACGGACCUCCUGUG